Non-coding RNA from Pelecanus crispus (Dalmatian pelican), 46 nucleotides. The record is from Rfam. Lineage: Eukaryota; Metazoa; Chordata; Aves; Pelecaniformes; Pelecanidae.
CUUUUGGUUGUUUUCACAACCACCACUUUUAAAAACUACGCUUAAU